Long non-coding RNA from Rhincodon typus (whale shark), 1240 nucleotides. RefSeq lists it as uncharacterized. NCBI's taxonomy places the organism in Eukaryota, Metazoa, Chordata, Chondrichthyes, Orectolobiformes, Rhincodontidae. The record is from RefSeq and is a predicted model, not a curated record. The transcript is spliced from 3 exons.
CAUAUUUGAAAUGAUUGUGCUUUGGCUCGAGCUGUCCUGUUCAUGGGACCAUGCAGGUGCCAAACCUGGUAUAUGAAAUUGGGUACAGGGCGUUGUUUGAAAGGAAAACUGGUUGUCUUGCUGUCCAUGUUUUUCUAUUCGAAGUACAGGUUUAUCCAGCUACAUCAUUAGAACUUUCAGUAAUCUGAAAACUAAAUUUGUAAUGUGUGUCUAUUGGCUGCAUGCACAUUCUUGAAUUAUAAAUACAGGUCUCAAAAAUAAUUCUGCGUGCUGUUGGCCCAGAGCUCUUCAGGAAUAAAUAAUAAUGCUGGAUACUGCUAAUGUAAUUACUCAAGUUUCAAUAGUAGAAUUUGUCCAGAUUUUAUACUUCCUCGAUUGCUGAAAAUUGUUUUCUAAACUUGCAGAUGCAGUCACUAAUAAGCUUCAAAGCAAUAAUAUUUUCACUGUUGCAAAGAGGAAUGUUGAAGGACAAGAUAUGUUAUAUCAAUCCCUUAAAUUGACAAAUGGAAUCUGGGUUUUAGCAGAGCUUAGAAUUCAACCAGGCAAUCCCAAUUAUACGGAUUUGGAGUUAUCGCUGAAAUGCAGAGCCCCAGAGGUAUCCCAACAUGUUUUCCAGGCAUAUGAAAUAAUUUUGAAGAAUUGAGCAAUUUGAGGUCAUCUCGGGCAGAAAGUCGCUGCAGUUGUGUUUAUUCGGGAGCCUAGAUGCACUGAUAAUGGACAGAAAUUAUAUAUGUGACACCCUGGUGUCACUGAAGAAGUUGCAUUAUUGUGAAGGGUAUUUAUUUUAUACUCAAAAUCUUGAGUAUAUUGACCCAUUAACACUAAAGUCUAUUGUAUAAUCCUACUAUAUCUAAAUUCAUUAUUCCAUUGAUGAUGAGCUCUAAAUACAAGAUUCAGAUAUUUACUAUGUUGAUUUCUCUCAAAAUCUAUGAAUGUAAUGUAAUAUCAUGACAUGGUGAAUUGCCUAGUGUGUGAAGAGGCUGUGCUCAAUACACUGCCAUUCCAGCUGUAGGGUAAUUGUCCUUGUUCAAAUUUGUAUCCUCUUCAUACUGCGUGAUGUGACUUUAAACUUUUGUGCGAUGAUGUUUUGUGUAUUUGUACACUAGUAAUAUGGUUCAUGCUGAUAGCGUGCUGUUUGGGUUCCACCAUUGCAGCUAAUGUCAAGGUGUUGAUCAGUAGUCAUAUCAGAAAUAAACUGGACUUGUGGGGUAAAGGUACCCAGGAGGCUGACUUGAAUGUA